AAAUUGAAGAGUUUGAUCAUGGCUCAGAUUGAACGCUGGCGGCAGGCCUAACACAUGCAAGUCGAGCGGUAGCACAGAGAGCUUGCUCUCGGGUGACGAGCGGCGGACGGGUGAGUAAUGUCUGGGAAACUGCCUGAUGGAGGGGGAUAACUACUGGAAACGGUAGCUAAUACCGCAUAACGUCGCAAGACCAAAGUGGGGGACCUUCGGGCCUCAUGCCAUCAGAUGUGCCCAGAUGGGAUUAGCUAGUAGGUGGGGUAAUGGCUCACCUAGGCGACGAUCCCUAGCUGGUCUGAGAGGAUGACCAGCCACACUGGAACUGAGACACGGUCCAGACUCCUACGGGAGGCAGCAGUGGGGAAUAUUGCACAAUGGGCGCAAGCCUGAUGCAGCCAUGCCGCGUGUGUGAAGAAGGCCUUCGGGUUGUAAAGCACUUUCAGCGGGGAGGAAGGCGGUGAGGUUAAUAACCUCAUCGAUUGACGUUACCCGCAGAAGAAGCACCGGCUAACUCCGUGCCAGCAGCCGCGGUAAUACGGAGGGUGCAAGCGUUAAUCGGAAUUACUGGGCGUAAAGCGCACGCAGGCGGUCUGUCAAGUCGGAUGUGAAAUCCCCGGGCUCAACCUGGGAACUGCAUUCGAAACUGGCAGGCUAGAGUCUUGUAGAGGGGGGUAGAAUUCCAGGUGUAGCGGUGAAAUGCGUAGAGAUCUGGAGGAAUACCGGUGGCGAAGGCGGCCCCCUGGACAAAGACUGACGCUCAGGUGCGAAAGCGUGGGGAGCAAACAGGAUUAGAUACCCUGGUAGUCCACGCCGUAAACGAUGUCGAUUUGGAGGUUGUGCCCUUGAGGCGUGGCUUCCGGAGCUAACGCGUUAAAUCGACCGCCUGGGGAGUACGGCCGCAAGGUUAAAACUCAAAUGAAUUGACGGGGGCCCGCACAAGCGGUGGAGCAUGUGGUUUAAUUCGAUGCAACGCGAAGAACCUUACCUGGUCUUGACAUCCACAGAACUUAGCAGAGAUGCUUUGGUGCCUUCGGGAACUGUGAGACAGGUGCUGCAUGGCUGUCGUCAGCUCGUGUUGUGAAAUGUUGGGUUAAGUCCCGCAACGAGCGCAACCCUUAUCCUUUGUUGCCAGCGGUUCGGCCGGGAACUCAAAGGAGACUGCCAGUGAUAAACUGGAGGAAGGUGGGGAUGACGUCAAGUCAUCAUGGCCCUUACGACCAGGGCUACACACGUGCUACAAUGGCAUAUACAAAGAGAAGCGACCUCGCGAGAGCAAGCGGACCUCAUAAAGUAUGUCGUAGUCCGGAUUGGAGUCUGCAACUCGACUCCAUGAAGUCGGAAUCGCUAGUAAUCGUAGAUCAGAAUGCUACGGUGAAUACGUUCCCGGGCCUUGUACACACCGCCCGUCACACCAUGGGAGUGGGUUGCAAAAGAAGUAGGUAGCUUAACCUUCGGGAGGGCGCUUACCACUUUGUGAUUCAUGACUGGGGUGAAGUCGUAACAAGGUAACCGUAGGGGAACCUGCGGUUGGAUCACCUCCUUACCUUAAAGAA
RNAcentral lists this ribosomal RNA (1550 nucleotides) under Klebsiella pneumoniae. RNAcentral's name for it is "bacterial SSU rRNA". It matches the Rfam family "Bacterial small subunit ribosomal RNA". The record is from RNAcentral. Lineage: Bacteria; Pseudomonadati; Pseudomonadota; Gammaproteobacteria; Enterobacterales; Enterobacteriaceae.